This 500-nucleotide ribosomal RNA is filed under the name uncultured bacterium. Its description in RNAcentral is "partial 16S ribosomal RNA". It matches the Rfam family "Bacterial small subunit ribosomal RNA", at positions 30 to 523 of the family's 1533-position model. The record is from RNAcentral.
AUUGAACGCUGGCGGCAUGCCUUACACAUGCAAGUCGAACGGCAGCACGGAGCUUGCUCUGGUGGCGAGUGGCGAACGGGUGAGUAAUAUAUCGGAACGUACCCUGGAGUGGGGGAUAACGUAGCGAAAGUUACGCUAAUACCGCAUACGAUCUAAGGAUGAAAGUGGGGGCUCGCAAGACCUCAUGCUCCUGGAGCGGCCGAUAUCUGAUUAGCUAGUUGGUGGGGUAAAGGCCCACCAAGGCAUCGAUCAGUAGCUGGUCUGAGAGGACGACCAGCCACACUGGAACUGAGACACGGUCCAGACUCCUACGGGAGGCAGCAGUGGGGAAUUUUGGACAAUGGGGGCAACCCUGAUCCAGCAAUGCCGCGUGAGUGAAGAAGGCCUUCGGGUUGUAAAGCUCUUUUGUCAGGGAAGAAAAGGCUGCAGCUAAUAUCUGCGGCUCAUGACGGUACCUGAAGAAUAAGCACCGGCUAACUACGUGCCAGCCGCCGCCGUAA